Molecule: RNA transcript, 2832 nt
Organism: Cucumis sativus (cucumber)
Lineage: Eukaryota; Viridiplantae; Streptophyta; Magnoliopsida; Cucurbitales; Cucurbitaceae
Exons: 4
Source: RefSeq, a predicted model, not a curated record
CUCUUAAAAGAAUAUUUUGGAGAAACGGACAAUACGAGACCGGCGGCCUCCUCGCACAACGACUGUUCGUCGACGUUCAUCGGCGACCUUGUCUGAACUAUUUCGCCGGUCCGAAGGGUCACUCUGUCACUCGUCGACGAUGGCGGACGAUUCAACUAACUCCUUUGCUUCGUCCUCAGAAGAUCGAUUAAAAGCCCUAAUUUCUUGUCCUUCCGCGAGUGCUAAAUUCGGUAACGAAGAGGAAUUUCUUGAAGGUGGAUUUGAAGAAAGUCACCUGCUGAUUGAUGAUAAUCCUUCUUCUAUCUGUGUAAUUUGCUUUUCGGAAGAUGGAAAAGCGGAGAGAGGCAAGCUUGAUUCCUGUGAUCAUUAUUUUUGCUUCGUCUGCAUUAUGGAGUGGGCGAGGAUUGAAUCUAGAUGCCCUGCUUGUAAGGGAAGGUUCACUGUUGUUCAUAGAAUUGCGAAGGAUCCUUGUCGACUCCGUGAACGAAUUGUUAAUAUUCCUAUGCGGAAUCAGGACCAGUCUGCUUCUGGAAGUGCUAGAAUUGGGGAUCCAUAUGCAGAGACGUGUUGUACUGUGUGCAAGGGAAUGGAAGAUGAAGGUCUCAUGUUACUCUGUGAUCUCUGUGAUUCAGCUGCUCAUACUUUUUGUGUCGGCCUUGGUGCUAAUGUACCCGAAGGUGAUUGGUAUUGCCAUGACUGCACCAUCGCCAGAGCUCAACAUACUGAUACUGAAUUAGAUACUAGUUUCAUCAAACAAAAUCAAACAACUACAGUUGAACCACGCAUUGCUAUUUCUGAUAUAGUAAAAGAAUCAAGUGCUCAAACAGUUAGCAUAACUCGUAGAGGAGCUCUUUUACAUUCCAAUCGUGAACCACCUUCUAUUGUCCCCAGUUCGAGAAGAAGUGUGGCCCAGAAAUCAUUGCCUAGUCGAGGAGGUAAAGCUGCGGGAACAAGUGCAAGAACAUUACAUCGAUGUCGCAACAUCCAUAGCUAUAUAAGGGCAUUACGUGAUAAUUGGGAUGCUGUACGAAAGGGUUCGCUGAGGUUUCCUGCUAGCAGCUCAUCCACAUAUUGUGGCAACAGUUCCAAACGAGAUACUGGUGGUGCUGAACUAAUAAACAAGCAAACAAAUCAACCUCAUGCCAUUAGCUUGCAGGCAACCACAUUACCUGAGUCUAAUGGAAACUCUUGUGAUGUCGAGAAGGCAUGGCGAAUGAUGGAAAUUGCAAAGGCCAAAUCUAUACGUGAGGGAGAUCAAACCUUGAGACAUCCUGUUAGUAGACAAAUAACCACAAAAACAAAAGAUUCUCACACAGCUAAAGGUCAACAGUACAAAAUCAAGAAGCCGGAUGAGCCAGCCAAGCAUAAGAAGGAAAUGGGAAAACAAAGAUUGCUCGAGUUGGAUAAGCAAUUGUGUCGUCCUGUAGCAAGUAAGAAGAAUAAAGCUUCUGAUGAGUUUUUUCCUACCCAUUCAUCCAGUAAUGGAGAAUUUCCCUUGGGUAAAAUGGUCCAGACUGGCGGAGGUGAUUUCCACUGUGAAAAUAGAAGAAAGCCAUCAAACAAAAUAGUGGAUGAAGUUUCAUCAUCCUCCACAAUGACACAAGCCUCGGAUAAACACCAUUCUGCUCGUGAGGCUGGCAGUGAUCACGAUGGCAAAAGUGAGAUACGAACACUGGUCAAAAUCAAUCUAAAACUCCUAAGCCAAGGCAAAAAUUUGGGAUAUGAAAGGUACAAAGAAGUGACAAGGCUAGCAACACACACAAUCAUGGCAAGAUGUGGUUUAGAACCCCCACCAAAACCAACAAAACAAUACGUAUCGUCCUCGGUUUGCAAACACACAGAAGAAGAAAUCCGGAAGCUUCACAGGUCGACUCUAAUGCCGGAUUCUUGCAGGAAAUGCUUCAUGUGGUUUGUGAAAGAUGUUGUUAAUGCCAUUAUGUUAGAAAAACUAACGGUGGGUUCAACUUCAUAGGCUGUAAAGAAACUAACAAAUAAUGUGGAUUAUUAUCAUUAUUAUCCGUAAGAGUUAGGAGAGGAGGACAAAAUAGAGAAGCCAAAGAGUUGAAGAAGUAGAAGAAGAAGAUGCGGGGACCAAACUGGAAGGGGUUGAUGUGAAAGUGCUUUUGUGGACGCUCUGUGAAAGCACUCAGAAAAGCGCUUAUGACAAAAUCACGUGACUUUGAAGAACGUCAGCAGAAGAUGGACAUGGACAUGGACGUGGACAUCGUCUUUUAGGACCCACAACACACGUGGAGAGGUGUCAGGAGAGGAGCACGUGGGGGGGGGAGGAGGCAGGGAGGGAUGGGGACACACGUGACAAAACUGCCUUAUCACGUGCUUUGAAACUGAACUACCAUUUCCGUGUUGGGUGCUGUCACUUCAUCAUUCGUCACAGCCCUAAUACCCCUAUCACUUCUCCACACAUUUCUUUUUAUAUAACUAUCAAUUAUUUAUUUAUUGAUUACCCCAUCAAACCAUUAAAGAAAAAAACAACUUUUCUCCAAACUAUAUUAAUUAAUUAUCCCUUUUCUUUUACUUUUCGUAUUAAUUCGAUUAUUUAUAUUGCCCUUUUAUUAAAUUAAAAUUACAUACGGACGGCAUCCAUAAGCAUGGGCAGCCAAAAUAUUAAAAAAAGAAAAAAGAAAAAAAGAAAGUGGGUCCCGAAAAUAGUGAGUUGGCCACGUGAGGAAGAGGGUGUGAAAAGGAUCACGUGCGUCUUGCGGAUUCUUCGCCGGUAACCCCUUUUAAAGUUUAGUAUUUGUUAACUGAUCCCUAAACGGAUCCCUUCAGAAUGUCCGUGUUUUAUGCUAUUCCCCCCUCCUUCCAUCUUUC